AGAUUACUUCGGUUUGAAGUCUUUUAUGACUGAGUGGCGGACGGGUGAGUAACGCGUGGGUAACCUGCCUCAUACAGGGGGAUAGCAGCUGGAAACGGCUGGUAAUACCGCAUAAGCGCACGGGAUCGCAUGAUUCUGUGUGAAAAACUCCGGUGGUACAGGAUGGACCCGCGUCUGAUUAGCUGGUUGGUGAGGUAACGGCCCACCAAGGCAACGAUCAGUAGCCGGCCUGAGAGGGUGAACGGCCACAUUGGGACUGAGACACGGCCCAAACUCC
Molecule: ribosomal RNA, 277 nt
Filed under: uncultured Lachnospiraceae bacterium
Lineage: Bacteria; Bacillati; Bacillota; Clostridia; Lachnospirales; Lachnospiraceae
Description: partial 16S ribosomal RNA
Rfam family: Bacterial small subunit ribosomal RNA
Source: RNAcentral